Molecule: small RNA, 158 nt
Organism: Blautia sp. An46
Lineage: Bacteria; Bacillati; Bacillota; Clostridia; Lachnospirales; Lachnospiraceae
Rfam family: Clostridiales-1 RNA
Source: Rfam
AAAGCCCAGUCUCAAAACAGAGACGGACGGGCUGCUUGCAGCCCAGGACGGCUGUGUUUUCGAGACGCUAAUCCAUAUGAGCAAGAAGGCUGGUAGGCCGGAUUGCGAAUAUGGAUAGGAUUGCGGGAGCGCAGAGCGCGGAGCAAUCCGUGGGCUUU